RNAcentral lists this unclassified non-coding RNA (246 nucleotides) under Hevea brasiliensis (rubber tree). Lineage: Eukaryota; Viridiplantae; Streptophyta; Magnoliopsida; Malpighiales; Euphorbiaceae. The record is from RNAcentral.
GAGCUGUGUUAUAGCAGAUCAAAGUGGAUCAGGAAAGACAUUGGCAUAUCUGGUACCUAUAAUUCAACGCCUCAGGCUAGAAGAACUCCAAGGACUUGGUGAAUCUGUUUCAAAAAGUCCUCAAGUACUUAUCAUGGUGCCAACUGCUGAGCUGGCAUCUCAGGUUUUGAAUAAUUGCCGGUCAAUAUCAAAAUUUGGGGUUCCAUUUCGAUCUAUGGUUGCAACGGGUGGAUUUUCUCAGAGAAC